Molecule: ribosomal RNA, 324 nt
Filed under: uncultured bacterium
Lineage: Bacteria
Description: bacterial SSU rRNA
Rfam family: Bacterial small subunit ribosomal RNA
Source: RNAcentral
GAUGAACGCUGGCGGCGUGCCUAACACAUGCAAGUCGAGCGAUUUACUUCGGUAAAGAGCGGCGGACGGGUGAGUAACGCGUGGGUAACCUGCCCUGUACACACGGAUAACAUACCGAAAGGUAUGCUAGUACGAGAUAAUAUACUUUUAUCUCAUGGUAGAAGUAUCAAAGACUCUGGCGGUACAGGAUGGACCCGCGUCUGAUUAGCUAGUUGGUAAGGUAACGGCUUACCAAGGCGACGAUCAGUAGCCGACCUGAGAGGGUGAUCGCCACAUUGGAACUGAGACACGGUCCAAACUCCUACGGGAGGCAGCAGUGGGGAA